This 117-nucleotide ribosomal RNA is filed under the name Spirochaetota bacterium. Lineage: Bacteria; Pseudomonadati; Spirochaetota. The record is from RNAcentral.
CCUGGUGGUUAUAGAGAGAGGGCCAUACCUGUUCCCAUUCCGAACACAGAAGUCAAGCCUCUCAUCGCCGAUGGUACUGCAUGGGUAGCUAUGUGGGAGAGUAGGACGCCGCCGGGG